UUUCACAGUUUUUUACUGUUUUUCUCGACAGUUUCUUACUGUACAAGUUGUUUACAGUUUGUUACUGUAGCUUUGUUGUUUUCACAGUAUUUUAAUGUAUUUUCAACAGUUUUUUACUGCAUAAGCUUUGUACAGUAGGCUACUGUAGUUUUCCAAUGCAUUAUGGGAAAUAUUACUCUGAAUACAGUAUUACCAACCAACUGCAAAACACAAUGACAAACGUAUAUUUAUAUCUUAAAUGCUUAAUUUUUUGGGAGAUAUUUGGUUUAAUGUCUGUUUUCACAUCAGAUGCUCGGUGUGUUCCUUUAACAUAAAUCACGUGCCUUUUCUGAGGCUUUAAUGAAAUCACCAGCCAAUUCAAUAGACAUACCAUCAGUUCUUAAUAUUGUUGCCUCUAGGUCACAAAUUGUAUUUUUAAGAUUAGUUUAGGCGAGAAUAUAUAUAUGUAUAAUCUUCAAAUAGCAGUCAAUUAGUUAAGAAAGCGCUAAUUUUUGUAUUCGAUUAAACAAAUGCGGAGAGUUCAGGCGCGAGUUGGUCACGUGAUGUGCUCCUCAGUUCUGUCAGUAGGGGGAGUGGGAGAACGCUUGUGUGUCGUCGCUCGUCGUAUCUGUUCUGCUAAUCUAGCGCGUAUUUCUUUAUUAAUAUCUGCUGGGUGAAUAUUAAUACGUAUAUGCUAACAUUAAUUUUGUGACCACAAAAUGACAGAGAGCUAUUAUGAGAUAUUGUGUCGUCGUGUUUGUCUUCACUCACUUCAUCAUUAUCUGGUAAGUGCUAUAUGCAAUAUCUGGUAUGAGACUUUAUUGGCACUAAAGGGUUCUUUCGGCUAAAUUUUACUUAAUUUCUGUCAUAACAGCAAACAACUUCUGCAACUACAUAAUGAUUGUCUGCGUGUGUGCAAAAGAAAGCAUGUUCACUGUGUAAAACCCCGCCAGCGCUUUUUCAAAUUAACGGUCAGGGGGAGUCUGAGCUGAUCGUGUUGUGUUGAUGACAGAGACUUUGCUGAGUGUAUGUAAAUCUGGGCUACAGUCCACAACAAAUUUUCUACGGUAGUUUUACGCCUGCAUGCUCGUCACUCGUCUAUCGCGGGAUAUCUUCACUACAGCGGGCAUCGCAUUGGAGAGAUCCUGUGCUUGUUGCGUGGCGGUGUGUUUGUGUGCUCACUUGGAUUGAGACCAGCAGUGCUUUUUUAAACAGUGGGACCUGAUAUGGAUUAAUCCAAUGAUCAACGUUUUCCUUUGUAUCCCUGUUUUGUAUGCUGCCAUUACAUGAUGGUCAUAUGUCCCGGAUGAUCGGGAGAAGUCACGUGAUUCUUUAUGACAUCAAGAUGUGGUUUGGGAAGGACCUUCAUCUAAAUCUGAAGAAAGGACAUACUAGCACAAAAAGGUGUUUCUGAUAUGGAGAAAAACCCUGCACUGCUCAUUUUAUUUCUUCAUCUUGAGAAUACAGCAAGUUUAACUUUUGUCUGGAAAAUGAUUCAGCAAAGCUAACACCAACAACAAUUUUUCAUGGCACUUCAAACCCCCUUGAUGUGAGGAGCCAGCAUCAGAAUGGAUGGUGUCAGGUGGAUCUCAAGACUUGGCCAUGUUCUAGAUUAUAACUGGAUUAUCACAAGUGCUGUCGCCCCUGCUGUAUACAGUAUGAUACCCCCACCACCUACACCAGCUGUAGAAAAUGUCGGUCCUGGAGUGCCGUUGUCCUGCAGAGUUCUGCUCCAGCUCUAAACAAACACACCUGAACAACUAGAUCUAAAGAGUCACCUGAAAACUACAGGUAGGCAAGGUUUUAUCAGGGUUGGAAAUAAAAUCUGCAGGAUUUUGGCACUCCAGAACCGAUGUUGCCUACCCCUGACCUACACCUUCAUCCUGCCACCACCACUCAUACUACCUACAAAAAAACUGUAUUGUAAUUAUGCUUUUCACUGUAUUGUAUGAUGUGGUUUUCUCAUUUAGGGUAACUACACUAUGGCAACCAUUUGAUACAUUGAUUGCUGACUGAUUUUGUUAAUUUUUAUUUAACCUUUUGUAUAAAAUCUAAUCAUUUUUUGGUUAUUUUUGUUAAUAUUGUUACAAAUAUACAGUUAAAACUGCACAAUAAA
This is a non-coding RNA of Paramisgurnus dabryanus, 2095 nucleotides long. The record is from RefSeq and is a predicted model, not a curated record. Lineage: Eukaryota; Metazoa; Chordata; Actinopteri; Cypriniformes; Cobitidae.